UUUGCGCUGCCCCGGCUCUGCGGGCUCCGGGGGCCGAGCAUCCCCCGCUCCCCAGGCCGGGACCGCUCACCCCGCCCGCCUGCCCACCCUCCGGGCCUUUCCCUGGACAGGAUGAUAUUUCCCCAGGACUGGAACAUCUGUCUGCAGUUGUCUUCCAGCACCAGCACGUGAAUUUGCAUCCAAGUAAACCAAGGCUUAAACCAACACGUGAACUUUGCAGUCAAAGAUUUUGAUGGCGUGGGAUGGAAAAACUGAAAAGGAAGGGUUUUAUUAAAUGCCUUGAGAUGUCAAUUCACAACUA
This is a long non-coding RNA of Vidua chalybeata, 301 nucleotides long. RefSeq lists it as uncharacterized. The record is from RefSeq and is a predicted model, not a curated record. The transcript is spliced from 2 exons. NCBI's taxonomy places the organism in Eukaryota, Metazoa, Chordata, Aves, Passeriformes, Viduidae.